CAGUCGCCGCGGUAAUACGUAGGUGGCAAGCGUUGUCCGGAAUUAUUGGGCGUAAAGGGCUCGCAGGCGGUUUCUUAAGUCUGAUGUGAAGGCCCCCGGCUCAACCGGGGAGGGUCAUUGGAAACUGGGAAACUUGAGUGCAAGAGGGGAGAGUGGAAUUCCAUGUGUAGCGGUGAAAUGCGUAGAUAUAUGGAGGAACACCGGUGGCGAAGGCGGCUCUCUGGCUUGUAACUGACGCUGAGGCUCGAAAGCGUGGGGCGCAAACAGGAUUAGAUACCCCAGUAGUCCCUGUCUCUUAUAC
This 301-nucleotide ribosomal RNA is filed under the name uncultured bacterium. Its description in RNAcentral is "partial 16S ribosomal RNA". It matches the Rfam family "Bacterial small subunit ribosomal RNA", at positions 509 to 807 of the family's 1533-position model. The record is from RNAcentral.